This 145-nucleotide microRNA precursor is filed under the name Gossypium barbadense (sea-island cotton). RNAcentral describes it as "MIR7502 microRNA precursor family". It matches the Rfam family "MIR7502 microRNA precursor family". RNAcentral also lists the same sequence under 2 other names. The record is from Rfam by way of RNAcentral. Lineage: Eukaryota; Viridiplantae; Streptophyta; Magnoliopsida; Malvales; Malvaceae.
UAUUAAAAAUUACAUCAAUUUGUAUUGUUAAAAAACUUACAUGGUUGACGGAAUAACCAGACAAGAACACGUGACGUGCCACGUGUUCCUUAUGCUGAUGUACAGGAAUCAGUUUAACAACAAAAAUUAAUGAAAAAUUUUAACA